This 828-nucleotide ribosomal RNA is filed under the name uncultured bacterium. Its description in RNAcentral is "bacterial SSU rRNA". It matches the Rfam family "Bacterial small subunit ribosomal RNA", at positions 66 to 909 of the family's 1533-position model. The record is from RNAcentral.
ACGAAGUUAUUUGAGCUUGCUUAGAUAACUUAGUGGCGGACGGGUGAGUAACACGUGAGCAAUCUGCCUUUCAGAGGGGGAUACCGAUUGGAAACGAUCGUUAAUACCGCAUAACAUAGUAAAUUCGCAUGUUUUUACUAUCAAAGAUUUAUCGCUGAAAGAUGAGCUCGCGUCUGAUUAGGUAGUUGGUGAGGUAACGGCCCACCAAGCCGACGAUCAGUAGCCGGACUGAGAGGUUGAACGGCCACAUUGGGACUGAGACACGGCCCAGACUCCUACGGGAGGCAGCAGUGGGGAAUAUUGCACAAUGGAGGAAACUCUGAUGCAGCGAUGCCGCGUGAGGGAAGAAGGUUUUCGGAUUGUAAACCUCUGUGUACAGGGACGAUAAUGACGGUACCUGUUCAGAAAGCUCCGGCUAACUACGUGCCAGCAGCCGCGGUAAUACGUAGGGAGCGAGCGUUGUCCGGAAUUACUGGGUGUAAAGGGAGUGUAGGCGGGACGGCAAGUCAGAUGUGAAAUUUAGGGGCUCAACCCCUGACCUGCAUUUGAAACUGCUGUUCUUGAGUGAAGUAGAGGUAAGCGGAAUUCCUAGUGUAGCGGUGAAAUGCGUAGAUAUUAGGAGGAGCAUCAGUGGCGAAGGCGGCUUACUGGGCUUUAACUGACGCUGAGGCUCGAAAGCGUGGGGAGCAAACAGGAUUAGAUACCCUGGUAGUCCACGCCGUAAACGAUGAUUACUAGGUGUGGGGGGACUGACCCCUUCCGUGCCGCAGUUAACACAAUAAGUAAUCCACCUGGGGAGUACGGUCGCAAGACUGAAACUCAAAGGAA